CCUACGGGGGGCUGCAGUGGGGAAUAUUGCACAAUGGGGGAAACCCUGAUGCAGCGACGCCGCGUGAAGGAAGAAGUAUUUCGGUAUGUAAACUUCUAUUAGCAGGGAAGAAAAUGACGGUACCUGACUAAGAAGCCCCGGAUAACUACGUGCCAGCAGGCGCGGUAAUACGUAGGGGGCAAGCGUUAUCCGGAUUUACUGGGUGUAAAUGGAGUGUAGGCGGUUUAGCAAGUCAGAGGUGAAAGCCUGGGGCUCAACUGCAGAACUGCUUUUGAGACUGGUAAACUAGAGUGCAGGAGAGGUAAGUGGAAUUCGUGGUGUAGCGGUGAAAUGCGUAGAUAUUAGGAAGAACCCC
RNAcentral lists this ribosomal RNA (355 nucleotides) under uncultured bacterium. Its description in RNAcentral is "partial 16S ribosomal RNA". It matches the Rfam family "Bacterial small subunit ribosomal RNA", at positions 338 to 710 of the family's 1533-position model. The record is from RNAcentral.